CUAACAAUUCCUCUGCGUAACCUCUAACAUUCUUCCGCCCCCGCGCGCCCCACCAUUGCGCGACCUCCGAUAUUCUUCCAUUCCGAUUCCUCUUCUAUAAGAACCCCCUUCAUACGACUUUUCCUUCUGAUCUCUUUUCUCUUUCUUUCCCUAGUCCGUUAAUCGCUAGCAUGCCUGUUACAUUGAGCCUUCGGAGAGUGAUUCAAUAAAGCAAGAAGUCAGUUAAUAAAGAGUCUUCUAAGAUACAUGAAAGUCAAAUAACCAGCUCAAAUGUAAAGACAACAGACAUUCAGAAUCAGAAUUUAGAUUUGUGUAUCAAUACAGACAACAAUGAUUGGGAUUCACUGUAUAGUCUCUUCUAUGUCAAUGAUUUCAAUUCAUCAAAUACAUCAAUGUCCACUGCUACAAAUAAACAAUUCCACAACUAUGGAGAUGAUGAGAAGCGCA
Molecule: small RNA, 447 nt
Filed under: Histoplasma capsulatum
Lineage: Eukaryota; Fungi; Ascomycota; Eurotiomycetes; Onygenales; Ajellomycetaceae
Also listed under: 1 other name
Description: hypothetical RNA
Source: RNAcentral